GACGAACGCUGGCGGCGUGCCUAAUACAUGCAAGUUGAGCGAUGAAGAUUGGUGCUUGCCCCAAUUUGAAGAGCAGCGAACGGGUGAGUAACGCGUGGGGAAUCUGCCUUUGAGCGGGGGACAACAUUUGGAAACGAAUGCUAAUACCGCAUAACAACUUUAAACAUAAGUUUUAAGUUUGAAAGAUGCAAUUGCAUCACUCAAAGAUGAUCCCGCGUUGUAUUAGCUAGUUGGUGAGGUAAAGGCUCACCAGGGCGAUGAUACAUAGCCGACCUGAGAGGGGGAUCGGCCACAUUGGGACUGAGACACGGCCCAAACUCCUACGGGAGGCAGCAGUAGGGAAUCUUCGGCAAUGGACGAAAGUCUGACCGAGCAACGCCGCGUGAGUGAAGAAGGUUUUCGGAUCGUAAAACUCUGUUGGUAGAGAAGAACGUUGGUGAGAGUGGAAAGCUCAUCAAGUGACGGUAACUACCCAGAAAGGGACGGCUAACUACGUG
Molecule: ribosomal RNA, 497 nt
Filed under: uncultured bacterium
Lineage: Bacteria
Description: partial 16S ribosomal RNA
Rfam family: Bacterial small subunit ribosomal RNA
Source: RNAcentral